UACGUAGGGUGCAAGCGUUAAUCGGAAUUACUGGGCGUAAAGCGUGCGCAGGCGGUUGUGCAAGACCGAUGUGAAAUCCCCGGGCUCAACCUGGGAAUGGCAUUGGUGACUGCACGGCUAGAGUGUGUCAGAGGGGGGUAGAAUUCCACGUGUAGCAGUGAAAUGCGUAGAGAUGUGGAGGAAUACCGAUGGCGAAGGCAGCCCCCUGGGAUAACACUGACGCUCAGGCACGAAAGCGUGGGGGAGCAAACAGG
This 254-nucleotide ribosomal RNA is filed under the name uncultured bacterium. RNAcentral's name for it is "partial 16S ribosomal RNA". It matches the Rfam family "Bacterial small subunit ribosomal RNA", at positions 524 to 776 of the family's 1533-position model. The record is from RNAcentral.